UACGUAGGGGGCGAGCGUUGUCCGGAUUUAUUGGGCGUAAAGCGCGCGCAGGUGGUUCCUUAAGUCUGAUGUGAAAGCCCACGGCUCAACCGUGGAGGGUCAUUGGAAACUGGGGAACUUGAGUGCAGAAGAGGAUAGUGGAAUUCCAAGUGUAGCGGUGAAAUGCGUAGAGAUUUGGAGGAACACCAGUGGCGAAGGCGACUGUCUGGUCUGUAACUGACACUGAGGCGCGAAAGCGUGGGGAGCAAACAGG
RNAcentral lists this ribosomal RNA (253 nucleotides) under uncultured bacterium. RNAcentral describes it as "partial 16S ribosomal RNA". It matches the Rfam family "Bacterial small subunit ribosomal RNA", at positions 524 to 776 of the family's 1533-position model. The record is from RNAcentral.